CCUCCGUCCCAUUAAAGUUGGCCACAUUUCUAUUUUGGGUGUCCCACUAAAGUUGGUCACUUUCUAAAAAUGGCAAAAAUUUACUUUAAUUAAGUCAACAAUUACUCAUUAAUUUGGUCAACAAUUGUAGGUCACUUUCUAAAAGUGCCAAAAUUACUUUAAUUAAGUCAACAAUUACUCACUAAUUUGGUCAACAAUUGUAGGCCACACUCUAUUAAAACAUAUAACACUCAA
Molecule: long non-coding RNA, 234 nt
Filed under: Salvia miltiorrhiza (redroot sage)
Lineage: Eukaryota; Viridiplantae; Streptophyta; Magnoliopsida; Lamiales; Lamiaceae
Description: long non-coding RNA (SMIL_LNC004468)
Source: RNAcentral